Molecule: ribosomal RNA, 743 nt
Filed under: Micrococcus sp. SRU_8
Lineage: Bacteria; Bacillati; Actinomycetota; Actinomycetes; Micrococcales; Micrococcaceae
Description: bacterial SSU rRNA
Rfam family: Bacterial small subunit ribosomal RNA
Source: RNAcentral
AGUGGCGAACGGGUGAGUAACACGUGAGUAACCUGCCCUUAACUCUGGGAUAAGCCUGGGAAACUGGGUCUAAUACCGGAUAGGAGCGUCCACCGCAUGGUGGGUGUUGGAAAGAUUUAUCGGUUUUGGAUGGACUCGCGGCCUAUCAGCUUGUUGGUGAGGUAAUGGCUCACCAAGGCGACGACGGGUAGCCGGCCUGAGAGGGUGACCGGCCACACUGGGACUGAGACACGGCCCAGACUCCUACGGGAGGCAGCAGUGGGGAAUAUUGCACAAUGGGCGCAAGCCUGAUGCAGCGACGCCGCGUGAGGGAUGACGGCCUUCGGGUUGUAAACCUCUUUCAGUAGGGAAGAAGCGAAAGUGACGGUACCUGCAGAAGAAGCACCGGCUAACUACGUGCCAGCAGCCGCGGUAAUACGUAGGGUGCGAGCGUUAUCCGGAAUUAUUGGGCGUAAAGAGCUCGUAGGCGGUUUGUCGCGUCUGUCGUGAAAGUCCGGGGCUUAACCCCGGAUCUGCGGUGGGUACGGGCAGACUAGAGUGCAGUAGGGGAGACUGGAAUUCCUGGUGUAGCGGUGGAAUGCGCAGAUAUCAGGAGGAACACCGAUGGCGAAGGCAGGUCUCUGGGCUGUAACUGACGCUGAGGAGCGAAAGCAUGGGGAGCGAACAGGAUUAGAUACCCUGGUAGUCCAUGCCGUAAACGUUGGGCACUAGGUGUGGGGACCAUUCCACGGUUUCCGCGCCGC